RNAcentral lists this ribosomal RNA (894 nucleotides) under uncultured bacterium. RNAcentral describes it as "bacterial SSU rRNA". It matches the Rfam family "Bacterial small subunit ribosomal RNA", at positions 446 to 1342 of the family's 1533-position model. The record is from RNAcentral.
AUAAAUAAGAUUACGUGUAAUCUGUUGCAUGUACCACAUGAAUAAGGACCGGCUAAUUCCGUGCCAGCAGCCGCGGUAAUACGGAAGGUCCGGGCGUUAUCCGGAUUUAUUGGGUUUAAAGGGAGCGUAGGCGGUCUGUUAAGCGUGUUGUGAAAUGUAACGGCUCAACCGUUGACUUGCAGCGCGAACUGGCAGUCUUGAGUGCGCAGGAAGUAGGCGGAAUUCGUGGUGUAGCGGUGAAAUGCUUAGAUAUCACGAAGAACUCCGAUUGCGAAGGCAGCUUACUGUAGCGUAACUGACGCUGAAGCUCGAAAGUGCGGGUAUCGAACAGGAUUAGAUACCCUGGUAGUCCGCACGGUAAACGAUGGAUGCCCGCUGUUCGUUCAUUUAGGAUGAGUGGCCAAGCGAAAGCAUUAAGCAUCCCACCUGGGGAGUACGCCGGCAACGGUGAAACUCAAAGGAAUUGACGGGGGCCCGCACAAGCGGAGGAACAUGUGGUUUAAUUCGAUGAUACGCGAGGAACCUUACCCGGGCUUGAACUGCAGGAGAACGAUUCAGAGAUGAAGAGGCCCUUCGGGGCUCCUGUGGAGGUGCUGCAUGGUUGUCGUCAGCUCGUGCCGUGAGGUGUCGGCUUAAGUGCCAUAACGAGCGCAACCCUUGUCCUCAGUUGCCAUCAGGUGAUGCUGGGCACUCUGUGGAUACUGCCACCGCAAGGUGUGAGGAAGGUGGGGAUGACGUCAAAUCAGCACGGCCCCUACGUCCGGGGCUACACACGUGUUACAAUGGCAGGUACAGAGAGAUGGUGUUCUGCAAAGCGCAUCUAAUCCUUAAAGCCUGUCUCAGUUCGGACUGGGGUCUGCAACCCGACCCCACGAAGCUGGAUUCGCUAGUAAU